AUGGUGAUAGGGUACCACAACUCAUCAGGAGGAGUCCCCUGCCGGCACCUGUCGUCCGCCCGCGCCGGGCUCCGAGACGAACAGACGCUGGCGGCGCGGUAUGCGCCCAGGGUCCAACGUCUUCAGCCACACCUGGAAGCGCAACAUGUCAUGCCGGCGCGCCGUGCGCUCUGCGACCUGGACUACGCGCCCACACCCGCAUGGAAUCACCUCUGCCGUUCUCCUUGUCUAGGCAUGGGCAGGAACGCCGACCAGCUCCAGGGGCACCAUAAAAGGCAGGAAGGCACCUGUUGCUUGAGCCCGACGCAUCCACGGCCGAAGGCCAAGGUGAAAGCCAUUGCCGGGGGCGAAUCCACGUUCCACCAUGAGUUGCCGGAUGAGAGGGUGCUCGCAUAUCAUAAGGAAGUCCUCUAG
RNAcentral lists this ribosomal RNA (414 nucleotides) under Triticum aestivum (bread wheat). Its description in RNAcentral is "partial small subunit ribosomal RNA". Lineage: Eukaryota; Viridiplantae; Streptophyta; Magnoliopsida; Poales; Poaceae. The record is from RNAcentral.